RNAcentral lists this ribosomal RNA (452 nucleotides) under uncultured marine bacterium. RNAcentral's name for it is "bacterial SSU rRNA". It matches the Rfam family "Bacterial small subunit ribosomal RNA", at positions 355 to 821 of the family's 1533-position model. The record is from RNAcentral.
UGGGGAAUUUUCCGCAAUGGGCGAAAUCCUGACGGAGCAAUACCGCGUGAGGGAUGAAGGCCUUUGGGUUGUAAACCUCUUUUUUCAAGGAGGAAGUUCUGACGUGUACUUGAAGAAUAAGCAUCGGCUAACUCCGUCCCAGCAGCCGCGGUAAGACGGAGGAUGCAAGUGUUAUCCAGAAUUAUUGGGCGUAAAGCGUCUGUAGGUUGCUUAACAAGUCUGUUGUUAAAGGUUAAAGCUUAACUUUAAAACCGCAGCAGAAACUGUUAGGCUUGAGUACGGUAGAAGUAGAGGGAAUUUCCUGUGGAGCGGUGAAAUGCGUAGAUAUGGGAAGGAACACCAAUGGCGAAAGCACUCUACUAGGCUUUUACUGACACUCAGAGACGAAAGCUAGGGUAGCAAAUGGGAUUAGAUACCCCAGUAGUCCUAGCCGUAAACGAUGGAUACUAAAC